CUGGCAGCAGGGCCAGGCACCGCAGCACCAUGCCCAUUCUAGGGAAAGGUUCUGCCCUCCCAGCCCAUCAUCCGGCAUGUGGCUUCUUUAGUGAUACUGUGCCCCACCAGGAGGGGUGAGCAGGAGGGCAGAGGAAGAGCCCAUUGCUGAUUCUGCUUGCCAAGGUUCUUGGGUCUACUUCUUACUGGGUUGUGCCUGUUUUGCCAUCCCUGGGUGAUGCCCCUGAUUCUUCCUGGUUCCUAGCCUGACUCUGCCUGGGACACACCCUGUGGCUCUCUGGAGGUCUCUGGACCUGGCUGUGCUGCCUAGCUGGGAUCCCUUGCCGUGUGUUUAUUUCCAUGUUAUUUCUGCCUAAAUGAGGAGUAGGAUGCUGUUUCCUGACCUGUGGAUUUGGGACAAACCCCUAACGAUUCCAUCCCUGAACCAUGGUGACUUAAGGCUCUUCAACCUGUAAAAUGGGAGGGUAGUGCCUACUUCACCAUAGCCGUGGGGAGAAGCCCGUGAAAACAUGCCUUUAAGAAAAUGAUGCAAACUGAGAACCCUGGCCCCAGAAGAGUUCCUGAGGGUCACCAGCCACAUUUGAAGCGAGCAGCUACCGGAUUGGAUAGUGCAGCCCUGCCUCCAACACGUUCACCUGACCCACGGGCAACCGAGGUCCAAGGAGGGCGUGGUCUGCCCAAGGUCACUGAGCUGAGUGGGACCAGGACCCAGGUCCCCUGACUCCAUCACAGCUGUUCCGCUCCACUUCACUGCCUGCCCUAUUUUCAUCAGGACAGCAAGCAGCGACCCAAGAAGCAGCAGUUUCAGCAGUGGAGUCAGAAGGCACAGCCUAACAACAUAUUCCUGCUCAGACAGUAAACUUCUUAGCGUUUCUUUAUUUUAUGUGAAUCUUGCCUGUGACCAUUCUCCACCACUGGAUGAUAUACAUAUGUGUGGAAAGAGUGCAUAAACGACUUUAGCAAGCAUCUAUUGAGCACCUACUGUGUUUCCAGCCCUGCACCUGGCCUUAAAGAUACGGAGAUGAAGACAGCCCAGCUCUGGUCCUCGGGCAGCUCACCUCUGGUCCAGGGAGGGCAGAGUGGUCAGCCCCUCACUUAGGGUGUGCAGAGGGUGGCGUGGGGUCUGAUACAGAGCCGUGCAGAAGUGCUGUGGGAGUGAGCAGAUUGCAUGCCUAGUGUAUGAAAACCCCAGCAAGCAGCCUCCUGGGCUGGCGGAACCAGCUGGAAGGGACCUUGGGAAAAUCCGUGGGGAGCCCACAUGUGGAGCUGCUGGGCCUCGGCCUGUGGGUGUGUGGUGUUUGGGUAACAGCCCAAAGGCUAGGAGGGUUUGUUUUUGUUGUUGAUUGGAACUGAGAGGGGCUAUUGUCAGGCAAAGCCUCAGCUUAUUGGUGUGUGGUGUUGGCUCAGGACUGUGGGGUGGGUACUUGCUGGGGUGCAGUUGCUGUCAGUAACAUCCCUUCAUGGAGCACCCAUUGCAGCAUCCCUCUCCCCCUCCUUCACACAUGUACACACUUGCACGCUCCCACACACACGUGUGCAUCGCCAGUUAUAAAAUUUAAUUUGCAGAGCCCAGGACAAAAUGAAAAUGCAAAGUCCCUUGAUCAAAAGUUAAGAAUUUUAAGGCCGCGACAGUAGAUUGUUUAGACAAGCACAGGGGCCUUCUAAUGGGCCCCGGGUGGCUGCACAGGACACACGUCGGAGAAGCUGGCCCUGCACACACACAGACACACAAGGUCCCCCACUGUUUGCACUGGCCUGUAUCUUCCCUUCUCUCCACCCACUGUGAGGGAGGCCAAAGGCAUGCCAGCUAGUGCUUUAGAGGUUUAUUAUCUCAUGUCAUCUGUCAACAUCCGAUGUCAAUAAUGGCUAUCAUGCCCACUCUCCAUAUGAGGAAGUGAAGAUGAGAAGGAAGAUCUGGGAUUCGAACCCAAAACUUACCUGAGUCCAAAGCCCAGGCUUGUUCCAUGCACACCCUGCCCCCACACCACACAAAGAGGAAUGAGCCACCUCCUUUUUUGUGUUAUUUCUGAUGUUUUUCUUUCUGUUUCUUCCUUCCUUCCUUCCUUCCUUCCAUCCUUCCUUCCUUCCCCCCUUCCUUCCUUCCUUCUUUCUUUCUUUCUUUCUUUCUUUCUUUCUUUCUUUCUUUCUUUCUUUCUUUCUUUCUUUCUUUCCUCCCUCUCUCUCUCUCUCUCUUUCUUUCUUUCUUUUCUUUCCUUUUGAGACAGAGUCUCACUCUUUCACCCAGGCUGGAGGGCAGUGGAGCAAUCUCGGCUCACUGCAACCUCCACCUCCUCAGUUCAAGUGAUUCU
RNAcentral lists this long non-coding RNA (2308 nucleotides) under Homo sapiens (human). Its description in RNAcentral is "HSALNT0002561". Lineage: Eukaryota; Metazoa; Chordata; Mammalia; Primates; Hominidae. The record is from RNAcentral.